Molecule: ribosomal RNA, 380 nt
Filed under: uncultured eukaryote
Lineage: Eukaryota
Description: partial 18S ribosomal RNA
Rfam family: Eukaryotic small subunit ribosomal RNA
Source: RNAcentral
CAAUAGCGUAUAUUAAAGUUGUUGCGGUUAAAAAGCUCGUAGUUGGAUUUCUGUUGAGGACGGCCGGUCCGCACUAUGUGCGUGUAUCUGGUUCGGCCUCGGCAUCCUCUCGAAAGCCGUUUCUGCGCUUGAUUGCGUGGCUCGGACUUCGGGACUUUUACUUUGAGGAAAUUAGAGUGUUCACGGCAGGCAAGCGCCUUGAAUAUAUUAGCAUGGAAUAAUAAUAUAGGAUCUUGGUCCUAUUUUGUUGGUUUCUAGGGCUAAGAUAAUGAUUAAUAGGGACAAUUGGGGGCAUUCGUAUUAACGCGUCAGAGGUGGAAUUCUUGGAUUGCGUUACGACGAACUACUGCGAAANCANNNGCCAAGGAUGUUUUCAUNGA